Molecule: unclassified non-coding RNA, 363 nt
Filed under: uncultured bacterium
Lineage: Bacteria
Description: contains 16S-23S intergenic spacer region
Source: RNAcentral
UCCCCCGUGAGGGGGCAGUCUCGCCUGACAAAUAUAACAGGCAACGAGGGUUGCGUUCGUUACCCCACUGAAGGGAACGAUUCAAACCACGAACUGACGACAGCCAUGCAUCACCUGUCCUACACCCUCGAAGGCUUUCUUCCUUUCGGAAGACGUGCAGUAGGAUUUCUAACCUUGGUAAGGUUCUUCGCUUAGCGACGAAUUAAGCCACACGCUCCACCACUUGUGCAAGCCCCCGUCUAUUCCUUUGAGUUUUAGUCUUGCGACCGUACUACCCAGGCGGAUAACUUAACGCGUUAGCUUCGACUCGGAGAGGGUCGAUACUCCCCAAAUCCAGUUAUCAUCGUUUAGGGCGUGGACUAC